This 393-nucleotide long non-coding RNA is filed under the name Equus asinus (donkey). RNAcentral's name for it is "lncRNA (ENSEASG00005028936.1)". Lineage: Eukaryota; Metazoa; Chordata; Mammalia; Perissodactyla; Equidae. The record is from RNAcentral.
UCCCAGGGCAGACGAGACGUUCAGGUGGAGAGACACCGUGCUUGGGGCAGGAAGGCAGCAGCAUACAGGAGCUGAAGCUGCAGUGUCCAAAAUGACUAAUUGACAAAGAGAAGGAGAGAGUAAGAGCAGAGAGCGUGGACUGCAGAGUCAGAAUGCCUGGUUCAAAUUGUGGAUCCAGCAAGGUCCGUGCCCGGGAACUCAACCUGAGCUGCCAAAGUGGAGCAUGCCGCACUUCACCUCUAGGCCACCGGGGCUGGCCCUCACUCUUAUUUAUUUAUUAUUUACUGCUGGAGGAAUAUGCAUAUCUAUAUUCUCUUGACUUAUGCAUCAUUUUGGGGACGUUGGAGAACUGUAGACAGUUCUACAUGGACCUACAUGGUUCUGACAGUGAAA